UGGUGGAGUGAUUUGUCUGGUUAAUUCCGAUAACGAACGAGACCUUAGUCUGCUAAAUAGUUGGACUCACUUUGGUGGGUUAUAACUUCUUAGAGAGACUUCUUACGCAUAGUGAGAGGAAGUUUGAGGCAAUAACA
This 137-nucleotide ribosomal RNA is filed under the name uncultured eukaryote. RNAcentral's name for it is "partial 18S ribosomal RNA". It matches the Rfam family "Eukaryotic small subunit ribosomal RNA", at positions 1299 to 1458 of the family's 1831-position model. The record is from RNAcentral.